GACGGAGGGGGCUAGCGUUUUUCGGAAUCAUUGGGCGUAAAGCGCGUGUAGGCGGCUUGGCAAGUCGGGUGUGAAAUCCCGGGGCCCAACCCCGGAACUGCAUUCGAAACUGCCUCGCUAGAGUCCCGGAGAGGAAGGCGGAAUUCCCGGUGUAGAGGUGAAAUUCGUAGAUAUCGGGAGGAACACCAGCGGCGAAGGCGGCCUUCUGGACGGUGACUGACGCUGAGACGCGAAAGCGUGGGGAGCAAACAGG
RNAcentral lists this ribosomal RNA (253 nucleotides) under uncultured bacterium. Its description in RNAcentral is "partial 16S ribosomal RNA". It matches the Rfam family "Bacterial small subunit ribosomal RNA", at positions 524 to 776 of the family's 1533-position model. The record is from RNAcentral.